UACGGAGGGUGCUAGCGUUGUUCGGAAUUACUGGGCGUAAAGGGCGCGUAGGCGGCCUUCUAAGUCGAACGUGAAAUCCCUGGGCUCAACCCAGGAACUGCGUCCGAUACUGGAAGGCUUGAAUCCGGGAGAGGGAUGCGGAAUUCCAGGUGUAGCGGUGAAAUGCGUAGAUAUCUGGAGGAACACCGGUGGCGAAGGCGGCUAUCUGGCCCGUAAUUGACGCUGAGGCGCGAAAGCGUGGGGAGCAAACAGG
RNAcentral lists this ribosomal RNA (253 nucleotides) under uncultured bacterium. RNAcentral's name for it is "partial 16S ribosomal RNA". It matches the Rfam family "Bacterial small subunit ribosomal RNA", at positions 524 to 776 of the family's 1533-position model. The record is from RNAcentral.